GGGCAAGUCUCAUGCGACCAGCUCCUGUGAACUCCCCCAGGUCGGGAACGAAGCAAGGGUAAGCGGUUGUAGCGGUUCGGCAUGAGGAGCUUGCCCGAU
Molecule: signal recognition particle RNA, 99 nt
Filed under: Bacteroidota bacterium
Lineage: Bacteria; Pseudomonadati; Bacteroidota
Description: signal recognition particle sRNA small type
Rfam family: Bacteroidales small SRP
About the family: The non-coding component of the signal recognition particle in Bacteroides
Source: RNAcentral